CCUACGGGUGGCAGCAGUGAGGAAUAUUUGUCAAUGGGCGCGAGCCUGAACCAGCCAAGUAGCGUGAAGGAUGCCUGCCCUACGGGUUGUACACUUCUUUUAUAAAGGAAUAAAGUGAGGCACGUUUGCCUUUUUGUAUGUACUUUAUGAAUAAGGAUCGGCUAACUCCGUGCCAGCAGCCACGGUAAUACGGAGGAUCCGAGCGUUAUCCGGAUUUAUUGGGUUUAAAGGGAGAGUAGAUGGGUUGUUAAGUCAGUUGUGAAAGUUUGCGGCUCAACCGUAAAAUUGCCAUUGAUACUGGCAGUCUUGAGUACAGUUGAGGUAGGCGGAAUUCGUGGGGUAGCGGUGAAAUGCUUAGAUAUCACGAAGACCUCCGAUUGCGAAGGCAGCUUACUAAACUGCCACUGACAUUGAUGCUCGAAAGUGUGGGUAUCAAACAGGAGUAGAUACCCGAGUAGUC
Molecule: ribosomal RNA, 460 nt
Filed under: uncultured bacterium
Lineage: Bacteria
Description: partial 16S ribosomal RNA
Rfam family: Bacterial small subunit ribosomal RNA
Source: RNAcentral